AGAAUCAACGCUGGCGGCGUGCCUAACACAUGCAAGUCGCACGAGAAAGGGGGCUUCGGUCCCUGAGUACAGUGGCGCACGGGUGAGUAACACGUGAAUCAUCUACCUUCGAGUGGGGAAUAACUGAGAGAAAUCUUAGCUAAUACCGCAUAAUACCCACGGGUCAAAGCAGCAAUGCGCUUGAAGAGGAGUUCGCGGCAGAUUAGUUAGUUGGCGGGGUAAUGGCCCACCAAGACGAUGAUCUGUA
Molecule: ribosomal RNA, 247 nt
Filed under: uncultured bacterium
Lineage: Bacteria
Description: partial small subunit ribosomal RNA
Rfam family: Bacterial small subunit ribosomal RNA
Source: RNAcentral